Molecule: ribosomal RNA, 477 nt
Filed under: uncultured bacterium
Lineage: Bacteria
Description: bacterial SSU rRNA
Rfam family: Bacterial small subunit ribosomal RNA
Source: RNAcentral
AAUCAACGCUGGCGGCGUGCCUAACACAUGCAAGUCGAACGCGAAAGCCCGCAAGGGCAAGUAGAGUGGCGCACGGGUGAGUAACACGUGGACAACCUGCCUCCGAGUGGGGAAUAACCUUCCGAAAGGAGGGCUAACACCGCAUAACACCUCGGGACACAAGUUCUGAGGUUGAAAAGAGCAAUUUGCUCGAAGAGGGGUCCGCGCCUGAUUAGCUAGUUGGUGAGGUAACGGCUCACCAAGGCUUCGAUCAGUAGCCGUCCUGAGAGGGAGCACGGCCACACUGGAACUGAGACACGGUCCAGACUCCUACGGGAGGCAGCAGUGGGGAAUUUUUGGCAAUGGGCGAAAGCCUGACCAAGCAACGCCGCGUGGGUGAUGAAGUAUCUUGGUACGUAAAACCCUUUCGGCAGGGACGAACCUAAUGACGGUACCUGCGGAAGAAGCCCCGGCUAACUCCGUGCCAGCCGCCGCCGU